CUGUAAUGGCAGGUCAGCAUACUGCCGUGAAUACGUUCCCGGGCCUUGUACACACCGCCCGUCACACCAUGAGAGUUGGGAAUACCCGAAGCCUGUGAGCUAACAUUUAUGAGGCAGCAGUCGAAGGUAGAAUCAAUGAUUGGGGUGAAGUCGUAACAAGGUAUC
Molecule: ribosomal RNA, 165 nt
Filed under: uncultured bacterium
Lineage: Bacteria
Description: partial 16S ribosomal RNA
Rfam family: Bacterial small subunit ribosomal RNA
Source: RNAcentral